RNAcentral lists this ribosomal RNA (515 nucleotides) under uncultured bacterium. Its description in RNAcentral is "partial 16S ribosomal RNA". It matches the Rfam family "Bacterial small subunit ribosomal RNA", at positions 28 to 523 of the family's 1533-position model. The record is from RNAcentral.
GAUGAACGCUGGCGGCGUGCCUAAUACAUGCAAGUCGAGCGAAUGGAUUAAGAGCUUGCUCUUAUGAAGUUAGCGGCGGACGGGUGAGUAACACGUGAGUAACCUGCCCAUAAGACUGGGAUAACUCCGGGAAACCGGGGCUAAUACCGGAUAACAUUUUGAACCGCAUGGUUCGAAAUUGAAAGGCGGCUUCGGCUGUCACUUAUGGAUGGACUCGCGUCGCAUUAGCUAGUUGGGGAGGUAACGGCUCACCAAGGCAACGAUGCGUAGCCGACCUGAGAGGGUGAUCGGCCACACUGGGACUGAGACACGGCCCAGACUCCUACGGGAGGCAGCAGUAGGGAAUCUUCCGCAAUGGACGAAAGUCUGACGGAGCAACGCCGCGUGAGUGAUGAAGGCUUUCGGGUCGUAAAACUCUGUUGUUAGGGAAGAACAAGUGCUAGUUGAAUAAGCUGGCACCUUGACGGUACCUAACCAGAAAGCCACGGCUAACUACGUGCCAGCAGCCGCGGUAA